This 513-nucleotide ribosomal RNA is filed under the name uncultured bacterium. Its description in RNAcentral is "partial 16S ribosomal RNA". It matches the Rfam family "Bacterial small subunit ribosomal RNA", at positions 28 to 523 of the family's 1533-position model. The record is from RNAcentral.
GACGAACGCUGGCGGCGUGCCUAAUACAUGCAAGUAGAACGCUGAAGAAAGGAGCUUGCUUCUUUUGGAUGAGUUGCGAACGGGUGAGUAACGCGUAGGUAACCUGCCUUGUAGCGGGGGAUAACUAUUGGAAACGAUAGCUAAUACCGCAUAACAGCUUUUGACACAUGUUAGAAGCUUGAAAGAUGCAAUUGCAUCACUACGAGAUGGACCUGCGUUGUAUUAGCGAGUAGGUAGGGUAACGGCCUACCUAGGGGACGAUACAUAGCCGACCUGAGAGGGUGAUCGGCCACACUGGGACUGAGACACGGCCCAGACUCCUACGGGAGGCAGCAGUAGGGAAUCUUCGGCAAUGGGGGCAACCCUGACCGAGCAACGCCGCGUGAGUGAAGAAGGUUUUCGGAUCGUAAAGCUCUGUUGUAAGAGAAGAACGUGUGUGAGAGUGGAAAGUUCACACAGUGACGGUAACUUACCAGAAAGGGACGGCUAACUACGUGCCAGCAGCCGCCGCAG